This 83-nucleotide ribosomal RNA is filed under the name Hypseleotris gymnocephala. RNAcentral describes it as "partial 16S ribosomal RNA". Lineage: Eukaryota; Metazoa; Chordata; Actinopteri; Gobiiformes; Eleotridae. The record is from RNAcentral.
CACCCAACAGCUAGCCCUCCCUCCCAAAAAUAACAACAAAACAUAAAUACCCCCUAAGACCCAAACGACUUUUAAACAAACCA